CUACAAUGGUCGGUACAAAGGGUUGCCAAGCCGCGAGGUGGAGCUAAUCCCAUAAAACCGAUCGUAGUCCGGAUCGCAGUCUGCAACUCGACUGCGUGAAGUCGGAAUCGCUAGUAAUCGUGAAUCAGAAUGUCACGGUGAAUACGUUCCCGGGCCUU
RNAcentral lists this ribosomal RNA (158 nucleotides) under uncultured Pseudomonas sp. Its description in RNAcentral is "partial 16S ribosomal RNA". It matches the Rfam family "Bacterial small subunit ribosomal RNA", at positions 1225 to 1382 of the family's 1533-position model. Lineage: Bacteria; Pseudomonadati; Pseudomonadota; Gammaproteobacteria; Pseudomonadales; Pseudomonadaceae. The record is from RNAcentral.